This 253-nucleotide ribosomal RNA is filed under the name uncultured bacterium. RNAcentral's name for it is "partial 16S ribosomal RNA". It matches the Rfam family "Bacterial small subunit ribosomal RNA", at positions 524 to 776 of the family's 1533-position model. The record is from RNAcentral.
UACGUAGGGUGCGAGCGUUAAUCGGAAUUACUGGGCGUAAAGCGUGCGCAGGCGGUUAUUUAAGACAGAUGUGAAAUCCCCGGGCUCAACCUGGGAACUGCGUUUGUGACUGGAUAGCUGGAGUAUGGCAGAGGGGGGUGGAAUUCCACGUGUAGCAGUGAAAUGCGUAGAGAUGUGGAGGAACACCAAUGGCGAAGGCAGCCCCCUGGGCCAAUACUGACGCUCAUGCACGAAAGCGUGGGGAGCAAACAGG